GCAGCACUCUAGAGCCGGAUGGGGGAGAGCAGACAGGUCACUGGGCCCCACCGGAACAGAGUGCAUGACGGGGGACAAUGACCGUCACAGGCAGCGUGGCCGAGCAGCCAGCACUCGCCAGCCGCUGUCUGGAGCACGUGACAGACAUGCUGGCGUGCAACCAAGGCCGCUUCUGUCAUCGUCAUGUCAGUGGGUAAAUCGUCCAGCCUCUGUGGCACCCCACACCCCGUCAUCCGUGAACCGGGAGCGGCCCAUGUUCCGCAGACGCCGGGCUAACGAGCGACCAUGCAGGCUUGGCGUCGCACACUCACGCCCUUACUCAAUCACCCCGA
Long non-coding RNA from Callorhinus ursinus (northern fur seal), 332 nucleotides. RefSeq lists it as uncharacterized. The record is from RefSeq and is a predicted model, not a curated record. Lineage: Eukaryota; Metazoa; Chordata; Mammalia; Carnivora; Otariidae.